This 110-nucleotide ribosomal RNA is filed under the name Prolemur simus (greater bamboo lemur). The record is from RNAcentral. Lineage: Eukaryota; Metazoa; Chordata; Mammalia; Primates; Lemuridae.
GUCUGCGGCCACACCACCCUGAACUCGCCCGGUCUCGUCUGAUCUCAGCAGCUAGGCAGGGUCGGGCCUGGUUACUACUCAGAUGGGAGAAUGGUUUGCAGUUGGAAAUA